Molecule: RNase P RNA, 377 nt
Filed under: uncultured Ruminococcus sp.
Lineage: Bacteria; Bacillati; Bacillota; Clostridia; Eubacteriales; Oscillospiraceae
Description: Bacterial RNase P class A
Rfam family: Bacterial RNase P class A
About the family: Ribonuclease P (RNase P) is a ubiquitous endoribonuclease, found in archaea, bacteria and eukarya as well as chloroplasts and mitochondria. Its best characterised activity is the generation of mature 5'-ends of tRNAs by cleaving the 5'-leader elements of precursor-tRNAs. Cellular RNase Ps are ribonucleoproteins.
Source: RNAcentral
GUAAACCAGGCAGUCGCGGGCGACAGCCGAAAGGCUCCGUCCGAGGAAAGUCCGGGCUUCACAGAGCAAGGAUAACGGCUAACGGCCGCCGAGGGUGACCUUAGGGAAAGUGCAACAGAAAAGAACCGCGAAUCGUCAUAUGGUCCUUUGGUGUCAAUCAUCAGAGGACAGUCUGACGACGCAAGGGUGGAAAGGCGAGGUAAGAGCUCACCGGGGCGACGGAGACGCCGCCGCCGUGUAAACCCUAUCCGAAGCAACACCGUGGAGGGACAUACGGCCUGCUCGGCUGUCCCGCGGAGGUGGCACCGAGCCGCUGCGGCAACGCGCGGCCAAGAUAGAUGACUGCCGAAUACAGAACCCGGCUUACAGAUUUACUC